GACGAACGCUGGCGGCGUGCUUAACACAUGCAAGUCGAGCGGUAAGGCCCUUCGGGGUACGACGAGCGGCGAACGGGUGAGUAACACGUGGGUGACCUGCCCUCCAGCUCUGGGAGUAAGACCUGGGAAACCGGGUACGUAAUACUGGAUAUGACUCCAUGACGCAUGUUGUGGGGUGGAAAGCCUUGUGCGGCUGAGGAUGGCCCGCGGCCUAUCAGCUUGUUGGUGGGGUGAUGGCCUACCAAGGCGACGAC
This 254-nucleotide ribosomal RNA is filed under the name uncultured bacterium. RNAcentral's name for it is "partial 16S ribosomal RNA". It matches the Rfam family "Bacterial small subunit ribosomal RNA", at positions 28 to 280 of the family's 1533-position model. The record is from RNAcentral.